Molecule: long non-coding RNA, 610 nt
Filed under: Vulpes vulpes (red fox)
Lineage: Eukaryota; Metazoa; Chordata; Mammalia; Carnivora; Canidae
Description: lncRNA (ENSVVUG00000023218.1)
Source: RNAcentral
GAAAAAUAGAAUUGUUUUUGCAGAGUUAUUUUGAACUCCUUUCCAAAGAGAAUGGCCACAAUGUGUUCAUUGUGGUUUUAAUGGAUUGUAAUGAAAAAUUUAGCUUUGCUUCCCAUUAGCACAUCCAAGCUUUACUGCUUCUGCAUGAGCCCUACUGAAUAAAGUUGUAUCAUGUCAUGUUUUUCCAUGCCUAUGCUGUUAUUACAUGGUUGCUAUCUUUAUCUGCCUUUAACUCUCUGACCUCAAUCCUUAACUUCUCUUCCUUAAUUCUACCUUAACUAUAUGAGCUAUGGAGUUCUGGGGACACUCCUCUACCAGAGAAGUCUCUACGUGGAUAAUACCUCCAACAUUCUGAUGUCUUUGUCAACUAUCAUAUUCUUAAUAAGGCUUAGGGAUCAAUUUAUUACAAUUGUGAGCCCUUCUUCCAUCACAAGUGCUUUUAGUGUCCUAUCUAGGUGAAGAUACAAGAUACGAGAUACAAGCUUGUGGUUAUGGAAUCAAUAAGUAAGUCACAGGAAUUCAAAGUACAUCACAAGGAGUAUCUUCAAUGGUAUUUUAAUAACAUUGUAUGGUAAUAUAUGGUAGCGACCCUUGUGAGCAUAGCUUGUUG